This 1640-nucleotide long non-coding RNA is filed under the name Actinidia chinensis (golden kiwifruit). Its description in RNAcentral is "long non-coding RNA (ACHI_LNC007362)". Lineage: Eukaryota; Viridiplantae; Streptophyta; Magnoliopsida; Ericales; Actinidiaceae. The record is from RNAcentral.
CCCUAACCUUGACCCUAAAUUCGAUGCACACAGAGCACAGAGGCGAUUUCUCUGGCGACGACCACCAGCACCACCGUCAGCACCACUACCAACACUCCCAUCAUCGACACCACCACCAAAAUUUCAACUCCGAGCAGAAUGAGUCACUCACUAAUUCCGAUCUUCUUGCGGUCGGAAGCCUCAGAUCUCUCUCUCUCUGGUCCUGCUUUCCUCUCUCUCUCUCAGGGUUAGGUUUAGCAGUUUGUUUUUGUUGGCGGAUGGUAGAGAUAGAGGCGGAGAGGUACAGAGAUUACUCCGGCUCUCGCCCGAAUAACAUUCGACAAGUCUCUUGCCGUCCUCCGAGGAUCAUCACUCGCCUUGACCAAAUUCGACGCACACAGAGGCGAUUCUCCGGCGACGCCACAGCCACCCACGUCAGACCACCACUACCAACACUCCCAUCAUCGAAACCACCACCAAAAUGUCAACUCCGAACAUAAUGAAUGAGUCACUCACAAUUACGAUCUUCUUGCGUCCGAAGCUCUCAGAUCUCUCUCUCUGGUCAUGCUUUCCCUAUCUAUCUCAGGUUAGGUUUAGCGUUUUGUUGUUGUUGGCGGAUGGUAGAGAUAGAGGCGGAGAGGGACGGGAUUACUCCGACUCUCGCCGAAUUCAAUUCUACCACGUCUUCUUGGUCCUCAAGAUCAUCCCCUCGAAUUGACCCUAAAUUCGACGCACACAGAGCGAUUUCUCCGGCGACGGCCACCAGCACCACCGGUCAGCCACCACUACCAACACUCCCAUAAUCGACAAAAAACCCACCACCACCAAAAUUCAACUCCGAGCAGAAUGAGUCACUCACUAAUUCCGACCAAUGGUUCGCUCACUCUGGUUUUACUUCACCAAUUCUUGCACUCGGAAGCCCCACAUCCCCUAGUUUCUUUUAUUCUUUUCUUUCUUGCUUCUUAUGUCUUGGUUAUAUGUCUGUUCCAUGAUGUUGUAUUUUGUUGUUUUUUCAAUAAAGUUUAUUGAAAUUAUAGUUUUCUUAGAUUAGGUUGUAGGUGUACUAAGAACAGUGCCUGAACCUGAACAAGAAGGCAGCUGUGGUAUAUAUGAUUCAUAUUCUUGCUUUGUUUGGUUAUAUGAUGACUCAUGAAUAAACUAAGCCACUUAUUUUAUUUUUUUGUUGCCAUGUUUUAUUUUUUGUUUUUUAUGUUAUUAAAAAAACUCCCCCAACCCAAAGGUUCUAAUUACUUCUUUCAUGUCAGAUUUGCUCCUUGUUAAACAAGGAGAGCGCUGCUUUUCCCCCUCACACACACAACCGGCCCCACCCCAAAACCCUCCUCAACAAUUACCAUUAUGCCCCUCCCCCUUCUUACCCCUCUAGUCUCAGUUUUUUUUUUUUUUUUUCCAGUUUUUUUUGGUUUAGUUUUGUGAUUUUUCUUCUUCAGUUUUGUAGGUAUACCACAGUGACUAAAGAAGAUGUUAGUAGUGUUAAGUGUUAUCUAUGAUUCAUAUUCCUGCUUUGUUUGGUUUUCUCCAUGACCCAUGAAUAAACUUGGCACUUUUUUAUUUUUUGUUUCUAUGGAUUUUUUUGUGUGUGUGUGUGUCAAAUUUAUGUUUGGUAAAAAAACUCCCCCUAGCCGAAAGGGUUCUAAUUGUUU